RNAcentral lists this ribosomal RNA (254 nucleotides) under uncultured bacterium. RNAcentral's name for it is "partial 16S ribosomal RNA". It matches the Rfam family "Bacterial small subunit ribosomal RNA", at positions 524 to 776 of the family's 1533-position model. The record is from RNAcentral.
UACGUAGGGUGCGAGCGUUGUCCGGAAUUAUUGGGCGUAAAGAGCUUGUAGGCGGUUUGUCGCGUCUGCCGUGAAAACCUGGGGCUCAACUCUGGGCGUGCGGUCGAUACGGGCAUCACUUGAGUUCGGCAGGGGAGACUGGAAUUCCUGGUGUAGCGGUGAAAUGCGCAGAUAUCAGGAGGAACACCGGUGGCGAAGGCGGGUCUCUGGGCCGAUACUGACGCUGAGGAGCGAAAGCAUGGGUAGCGAACAGG